RNAcentral lists this small nucleolar RNA (131 nucleotides) under Castor canadensis (American beaver). RNAcentral's name for it is "Small nucleolar RNA SNORA42/SNORA80 family (ENSCCNG00000006017.1)". It matches the Rfam family "Small nucleolar RNA SNORA42/SNORA80 family". Rfam says of the family: The members of this family belong to the H/ACA class of snoRNAs that guide the sites of modification of uridines to pseudouridines. Human ACA42 (SNORA42) was cloned from HeLa cells by immunoprecipitation with anti-GAR1 antibody. Lineage: Eukaryota; Metazoa; Chordata; Mammalia; Rodentia; Castoridae. The record is from Rfam by way of RNAcentral.
GCAUGGAUUUGGAUUUAUGGCAGGCCUGUCCCUCUGGGCCUGUCAUGUAUCCCACAUCAGAGCAGACUGGCUCCAAACCAUUGCCUGUCCUCUGCCGGUAGACUGCUCACACUAAAGUGGGCUGCACAGUG